AGCGGCGGACGGGUGAGUAACACGUGGGUAACCUGCCUGUAAGACUGGGAUAACUCCGGGAAACCGGAGCUAAUACCGGAUAGUUCCUUGAACCGCAUGGUUCAAGGAUGAAAGACGGUUUCGGCUGUCACUUACAGAUGGACCCGCGGCGCAUUAGCUAGUUGGUGGGGUAAUGGCUCACCAAGGCGACGAUGCGUAGCCGACCUGAGAGGGUGAUCGGCCACACUGGGACUGAGACACGGCCCAGACUCCUACGGGAGGCAGCAGUAGGGAAUCUUCCGCAAUGGACGAAAGUCUGACGGAGCAACGCCGCGUGAGUGAUGAAGGUUUUCGGAUCGUAAAGCUCUGUUGUUAGGGAAGAACAAGUGCGAGAGUAACUGCUCGCACCUUGACGGUACCUAACCAGAAAGCCACGGCUAACUACGUGCCAGCAGCCGCGGUAAUACGUAGGUGGCAAGCGUUGUCCGGAAUUAUUGGGCGUAAAGGGCUCGCAGGCGGUUUCUUAAGUCUGAUGUGAAAGCCCCCGGCUCAACCGGGGAGGGUCAUUGGAAACUGGGAAACUUGAGUGCAGAAGAGGAGAGUGGAAUUCCACGUGUAGCGGUGAAAUGCGUAGAGAUGUGGAGGAACACCAGUGGCGAAGGCGACUCUCUGGUCUGUAACUGACGCUGAGGAGCGAAAGCGUGGGGAGCGAACAGGAUUAGAUACCCUGGUAGUCCACGCCGUAAACGAUGAGUGCUAAGUGUUAGGGGGUUUCCGCCCCUUAGUGCUGCAGCUAACGCAUUAAGCACUCCGCCUGGGGGAGUACGGUCGCAAGACUGAAACUUCAAAGGAAUUGACGGG
Molecule: ribosomal RNA, 840 nt
Filed under: Bacillus pumilus
Lineage: Bacteria; Bacillati; Bacillota; Bacilli; Caryophanales; Bacillaceae
Description: bacterial SSU rRNA
Rfam family: Bacterial small subunit ribosomal RNA
Source: RNAcentral